GAGUUUGAUCUUGGCUCAGAUUGAACGCUGGCGGCAGGCCUAACACAUGCAAGUCGAGCGGUAGAGAGAAGCUUGCUUCUCUUGAGAGCGGCGGACGGGUGAGUAAUGCCUAGGAAUCUGCCUGGUAGUGGGGGAUAACGCUCGGAAACGGACGCUAAUACCGCAUACGUCCUACGGGAGAAAGCAGGGGACCUUCGGGCCUUGCGCUAUCAGAUGAGCCUAGGUCGGAUUAGCUAGUUGGUGAGGUAAUGGCUCACCAAGGCGACGAUCCGUAACUGGUCUGAGAGGAUGAUCAGUCACACUGGAACUGAGACACGGUCCAGACUCCUACGGGAGGCAGCAGUGGGGAAUAUUGGACAAUGGGCGAAAGCCUGAUCCAGCCAUGCCGCGUGUGUGAAGAAGGUCUUCGGAUUGUAAAGCACUUUAAGUUGGGAGGAAGGGCAGUAAAUUAAUAACUUUAGCUGUUUUGUACGUUA
Molecule: ribosomal RNA, 476 nt
Filed under: uncultured bacterium
Lineage: Bacteria
Description: bacterial SSU rRNA
Rfam family: Bacterial small subunit ribosomal RNA
Source: RNAcentral